GCAUUGCCCGUGAUCAUAAUCGAUGAGAUCCUGAAAUUCAUUGGAAGGCUUACUAGUGGGUUGAGGACUUCUCGCCCGAGCAGAUUAUCAAAGCAGAAAUCGGAGUAAACAUGGGGAGGUAUCAUCGGCAGCAUUUAUGAUGUGAAUUCAUUAAUGACAAAAGAGUGGAAACUAGAGUUGAUGUUUCUGAACAUUAUUCGCCAUAGAGAAAUGGAUGGGUCUUGUUUUAUGACUCCCAUUUCUUUAACUCACAUUUUGGCA
This 261-nucleotide unclassified non-coding RNA is filed under the name Hevea brasiliensis (rubber tree). The record is from RNAcentral. Lineage: Eukaryota; Viridiplantae; Streptophyta; Magnoliopsida; Malpighiales; Euphorbiaceae.